AGUGAACGCUGGCGGUAGGCCUAACACAUGCAAGUCGAACGGCAGCACAGUAAGAGCUUGCUCUUACGGGUGGCGAGUGGCGGACGGGUGAGGAAUACAUCGGAAUCUACUUUUUCGUGGGGGAUAACGUAGGGAAACUUACGCUAAUACCGCAUACGACCUACGGGUGAAAGCAGGGGAUCUUCGGACCUUGCGCGAUUGAAUGAGCCGAUGUCGGAUUAGCUAGUUGGCGGGGUAAAGGCCCACCAAGGCGACGAUCCGUAGCUGGUCUGAGAGGAUGAUCAGCCACACUGGAACCGAGACACGGUCCAGACUCCUACGGGAGGCAGCAGUGGGGAAUAUUGGACAAUGGGCGCAAGCCUGAUCCAGCUAUACCGCGUGGGUGAAGAAGGCCUUCGGGUUGUAAAGCCCUUUUGUUGGGAAAGAAAAGCAGCAGGUUAAUACCCCGCUGUUCUGACGGUACCCAAAGAAUAAGCACCGGCUAACUUCGUG
This 492-nucleotide ribosomal RNA is filed under the name uncultured bacterium. RNAcentral describes it as "partial 16S ribosomal RNA". It matches the Rfam family "Bacterial small subunit ribosomal RNA", at positions 29 to 507 of the family's 1533-position model. The record is from RNAcentral.